RNAcentral lists this ribosomal RNA (440 nucleotides) under uncultured bacterium. RNAcentral describes it as "partial 16S ribosomal RNA". It matches the Rfam family "Bacterial small subunit ribosomal RNA", at positions 338 to 795 of the family's 1533-position model. The record is from RNAcentral.
CCUACGGGUGGCAGCAGUGGGGAAUAUUGCUCAAUGGGGGAAACCCUGAACCAGCGAAGUCGCGUGAGGGAUGAAGUAUCUCUUUAUGGUAAGCUUCUUUUGUAGGGGAAUAAAUUGUGGUACGUGUGUAAGAUCCCAUGUCUAAUAACGUGCAGGAUGCGCCGGUAAUAUGCCGGCGGCCACCGUUAUCCGGAUUUACUGGGUGUAAAGGGAGCGUAGUCGGCUGUGCAAGUCAGGAGGGAAAGUCGGGGGCUCAACCCCCGGAUUGCUGUUGAAACUGGACGGCUGGAGUGCAGGAGAGGUAAGUGGAAUUCGUGGUGUAGCGGUGAAAUGCGUAGAUAUUAGGAGGAACACCGAUGGCGAAGGCAGCUUACUGGACUGUAACUGACGUUGAGGCUCGAAAGCGUGGGGAGCAAACAGGAUUAGAUACCCCUGUAGUC